CCUGAAGCUGAAAGACAAAGCAGCAGCUUUGCUAACUCAACCAAUCCAAAACCACUCCUGCAUAUAAGUAAGAUAUCCACACUACCUCAUCAGUUUUCAUACGAGGGAACUUUCCUCUGCUCUCAUCCAACUAAUUCCCCAGCCUGGAGGAGCACAAAGGCUUAAGUUGCUAUGCCAGUUCUCAACCAGAUGUUCAUCAGAUUCUGCAACUUUAUGAAGCUGAUAAUGGCUCCUACGGAACACACAUAUAUGUACUCAAAUAGUUGUUCUAUGGACACUGCACCUCACUUCAACAACAUAGUGGUCCUAUAAUGCAGAACUAUCUUUCAGGUGACUCGGAAACUGGACGCUUGUUCAGGCAUAAAAACAAAGUAACUGCAGUACUGGAAUCUGCACAAAUGAUGACAUUAAAAACCUUAUACUAUAUUUUAUACACAUCAUAAUUUCAUGCUUCA
Long non-coding RNA from Daucus carota subsp. sativus, 455 nucleotides. RefSeq lists it as uncharacterized. The record is from RefSeq and is a predicted model, not a curated record. The transcript has 4 exons. NCBI's taxonomy places the organism in Eukaryota, Viridiplantae, Streptophyta, Magnoliopsida, Apiales, Apiaceae.